Molecule: transfer RNA, 55 nt
Filed under: Histiostomatidae sp. XFX
Lineage: Eukaryota; Metazoa; Arthropoda; Arachnida; Sarcoptiformes; Histiostomatidae
Description: tRNA-Leu
Source: RNAcentral
UUUAAUAUAGCAUAACACAAUGCAAAGAGUUUAAGCCUCUUAGAUUUUUAUUAAA